UAGGAUGUGCUGGCAGGACUACCAAAGAUCAACAAGAACCCAGAAACAUUCUCAAGCAGAUGGGAGGAUACACAGCCACGAGGUCAGUCAUAUUUUUGGUUUCAGUUUUGGUUUAUGGAUCUCGUGUUAGGAGAAUCAAAGGAAAGAAGCAACUCUUUCCGCCCACAGGUGCCAUCCCCGUGCUUUAACAAAACCACCAUUUUGGACCACAGAUGUCUCAAGAGUUCUUUCGUGGCCGUCGGCUCCGGACCCCACCGACAUUCCAAAACUACAUCAUUGAGGAACAGGAUGCCCAUCACUUCUCCUGUGGGCCACGUGCAGAUAGAAGCAGAGUUUGAGGUGAUACAGUUGCAAGCCAAAAAUGCCAUGGAUUGCUGACCAGAAACAAAGAGAAAGGCAAGGAAGAAUCCUCCUCUAGAGCCUUCAGAGAGAGGAUGGCCCUGCCAACACCUUCAUUUCAGACUUCAAACCUCCGGAAUGGGAAA
RNAcentral lists this long non-coding RNA (485 nucleotides) under Mustela putorius furo (domestic ferret). RNAcentral describes it as "lncRNA (ENSMPUG00000028488.1)". Lineage: Eukaryota; Metazoa; Chordata; Mammalia; Carnivora; Mustelidae. The record is from RNAcentral.